This 553-nucleotide ribosomal RNA is filed under the name uncultured bacterium. Its description in RNAcentral is "bacterial SSU rRNA". It matches the Rfam family "Bacterial small subunit ribosomal RNA", at positions 778 to 1345 of the family's 1533-position model. The record is from RNAcentral.
AUAGAUACCCGGGUAGUCCACGCCGUAAACGAUGGAUGCUAGCUGUUAUGCGUAUCGACCCGUGUAGUAGCGAAGCUAACGCGUUAAGCAUCCCGCCUGGGGAGUACGAACGCAAGUUUAAAACUCAAAGGAAUUGACGGGGACCCGCACAAGCGGUGGAGCGUGUUCUUUAAUUCGAGGCUAAGCGAAGAACCUUACCAGGGCUUGACAUCCUUGGAAUUUCUCCGAAAGGAGAGAGUACUUUAUUGGACCAAGUGACAGGUGCUGCAUGGCCGUCGUCAGCUCGUGUCGUGAGAUGUUUGGUUAAGUCCAUUAACGAGCGCAACCCUUAUGAAUAGUUGUAUUUUUCUAUUCAGACUGCCCCGGUAACGGGGAGGAAGGGGGGAUGAUGUCAGGUCAGUAUUGCCCUUACGCCCUGGGCUAGAAACGCGCUACAAUGGCCGGUACAAUGCGCUGCCAACCCGCGAGGGGGAGCAAAUCGCAUCAAAGCCGGUCCCAGUUCGGAUAAGAGGCUGAAACUCGCCUCUUUGAAGCCGGAAUCGCUAGUAAUCGU